GACGAACGCUGGCGGCGUGCCUAAUACAUGCAAGUUGAGCGCUGAAGGUUGGUACUUGUACCGACUGGAUGAGCAGCGCACGGGUGAGUAACGCGUGGGGAAUCUGCCUUUGAGCGGGGGACAACAUUUGGAAACGAAUGCUAAUACCGCAUAAAAACUUUAAACACAAGUUUUAAGUUUGAAAGAUGCAAUUGCAUCACUCAAAGAUGAUCCCGCGUUGUAUUAGCUAGUUGGUGAGGUAAAGGCUCACCAAGGCGAUGAUACAUAGCCGACCUGAGAGGGUGGUCGGCCACAAUGGGACUGAGACACGGCCCAAACUCCUACGGGAGGCAGCAGUAGGGAAUCUUCGGCCAUGGACGAAAGGCUGACCGAGCAACGCCGCGGGAGGGAAGAAGGGUUUCGGAUCGGAAAACUCCGUUGGUAGAGAAGAACGUUGGUGAGAGUGGAAAGCUCAUCAAGUGACGGUAACUACCCAGAAAGGGACGGCUAACUACGUG
Molecule: ribosomal RNA, 497 nt
Filed under: uncultured bacterium
Lineage: Bacteria
Description: partial 16S ribosomal RNA
Rfam family: Bacterial small subunit ribosomal RNA
Source: RNAcentral